GCGUUUUCUCUCCGGCUCACCCCAAUGAAGCCAGCUGCCAUGUUGUGAGCUGCCCUACAGAGAGGUCCCCACAGCAAGGAACAGAAGAAGGUCUCCAGGUGACUACCAGCAAGGAACUGAGGACUUCAGUCCAACAUCGAGAGAGCAGUGAAUCCUGCCAACAGUCACCUUCAUCAAGGUGCUGUUCCACUGGGCUUUGAAAGAACUCAAUCUCCAGGCCUUCUUCAGGUUCGCUGCUGCUGAAAUGGUCUCUUCCAUCAGGUACUUUUGCUGGUGAUAAUUUCGGUGCCUGUGGACAAGGGUAGAGUGGGCCUAGUCCCUGGAGAGGU
Molecule: long non-coding RNA, 329 nt
Filed under: Mustela putorius furo (domestic ferret)
Lineage: Eukaryota; Metazoa; Chordata; Mammalia; Carnivora; Mustelidae
Description: lncRNA (ENSMPUG00000027007.1)
Source: RNAcentral